Molecule: long non-coding RNA, 2888 nt
Organism: Vicia villosa (hairy vetch)
Lineage: Eukaryota; Viridiplantae; Streptophyta; Magnoliopsida; Fabales; Fabaceae
Exons: 2
Source: RefSeq, a predicted model, not a curated record
UACUUUUUGCAACCCAUUCUCUCACGACUGAUUUUUUUUCUAAACCAAAACCUGCUUUGCAAAACACAAGCAAUGUCUCUUCUCUCUCAUCCGAACCCUCCUCCUCUCUCUUCACAUUCCUUUUUUUUAAGUUGUCUCUUCCUCUUCUUUAUUCAUGUUUUCUUCUGCUAUUUUGAUUUUUUCUGUUAACAUAGUUUACGAAUAUACUUUAUGACGUGCGGUGUGGGGUUUAACGACGGUAGCAGAUUUGUGGUGAAGGCAACCUAUUUCUGGUGGCGAGGGUGAUGGUGGACGAAUCAUAUGAGUUCAAGCAUAAACCAGUUUGGGGAACAUUUGUUUUGAUUUCAAGAUAAAAAGUUAAUAUUUGCUUUUGGGAUGUUGAUUCGAUUUCAAGCAAAGAAGGUGGAGAUUUGUUUGUGGUUUAAGGUUUUGUUUCUAGCGAAGAGUUUAUGGCGGCGGAUCUAAAGUUUUUGUCGAUUUCACAGCGGUGUGCGAUUUAGAGUUUUUGUUAUGUCAUGUUUUGAAAUGUCAUGUUUUAAUUUUAGGGUUUUUUGUUACAAACUUUAGCAUCUUCUUUGUGUAACAAUUGUGCUCUCUUGGAUACAGUUAAUGCUGAAGCAUUUAGUGCAUCUUCUAAUUCUGAUUUUAGUAUAGGUUCAUAUACGGUGCUACAUGUAUCAAAAGCUUAUUUCAGCUCAUUAGAAUAAACAAAAGUUGAUAUCUUUAUAUUUCUUUCUUCAUUUUCCCCAUUUCACAGGAAUGCAGUUAUUGUGAUGCUUUCGGGUCAAGUGGCAGAUGCAUUUGCCACUGUAUUUGUUGGUGAACUGGUGUUUAAACUUUUUUCAACUUAUAUGCUUAUAUGUUUCCGUCACUAAGAAUAUUCGUGUGUUCCUAACAUAAUAAUCUUUUAUAGCGUAGGUAACAAAUAUUUAUUGUGAGUUUCAAAAUUUAGUUUGGAUGUUACUCAAACUGAACCUCAUUUGAUUGAACUGAUACUAAUCUAGCUUUUACUUUUAUAUGAUUUUAAGAAACUUUAAUAGUUUGUCACUCGCCUUUCAGAUCUUAUUUUGAUAGAAAUGAUAACUUCUGUUAUCUUGCUUUAUAGAUAGACUAGUUUGGAUGUUUCAAGAUAUGACAUGGUGCCGGAUCUUUAUUGGUGGCUAUUUAAUUUUUUCUGUUUUUGGUCGUUGUCUACCAUGUGCAAUUCUUACUUCUGAUUCAACUACUUUUGAAACUGUGAGUUACAUCAUGUUUGUAUCAAUUUUCAACUUGGGUUGGGCUGCUACUCAGGUCUCAUACUCGUGGGAGGAUUUCAUGGGCUUACUGGUUCAAGAGAUUUUUAUAUUACCAAGUUGUUAUUAUUUAUGUCCUCACGAGAUUAGUUCUUAAAGUUUCUCAGGUUAGGAUGUUUUUACUCUCUCUAUUUUGUGUUCAUUGUCUUGGAAGAUGAGAGGCUUAAUAUGUUUCACAAAUUGAAUUGAAUUGUGUUUGAAGAAGACACCGUUUGAAGAAGACACCUUUAGGAACAUAAUUCGAAGGAAGCUAAAACUACUUGAUUGCAUUAAAUUUCCAACGUUAAAUUUGUCAAUCUCCACCGUUAAAUUUGUUUACUCUUUGUAGGAGAUUGCAUGGACAGGCAAACUUCUCAAGGCUUACUUCUUUGCUGGAUGCAUUCUUUGCAUUCUUUGAAACUGAUACCUGGAAUGUACUUAUGCAGUCUUAGUUUUCUCUUUUACUUAAACUAUAAUAAUUUUUACUCAAAGUUUUUUAACAACUUCAAUGGUUCAAUUUUUUAGAGGCUUCCCUGUUUGGCUCAAGUACAUUCCAGGUAUCAGUUUCAGAAUAGACAAUGGGAACCUAAUUGUACCUGCUUUAGAAAACUAAUCCCUUUUGGUUACUAUUAUUUCUGAGUGAAUGCACAAUAUGUAAUAAUUAUUAUCCUGUAUUGUGUGUUAUCCAUGAUAAUUUAGUUCUAUAGCAGGAAUUCAAGUCACUGCCAUUCAGCUGUAUUCAUGAUCUUAUUGUAAGAUAAGGUUUUAUGAUAGAGUGGCGUGGCACAUUGGUGUGAUUUUAUGAUGAUGCAAAUUAUGGUGAUGUUCAGCUUAAAUGGAGAUUAAGGUAAGGCUUGAAUGUGGAUUUAGUGUUAGCCUCAGACUAAUGAAAGGUUAAUAGAAGCAGGUUAUGGUGGCAUGUUAGGAAUAUGUUAGUAAGAGUGAAACAAUUAGUUUGGUUAGUGAGAUUAGGGAUUGUUGGUUAAUCAUUAUGUUGAACUGUUAGUGAAUUUAAAUGGGGCUGCUACAGUCAGUUGACUUUGAAUCAUGGAAUCAAGUAAUGAUUUAGGAUGAUAUAGACUGCUUGCUGCGUUUCCAACUGACCCGAAAUUAACACGUUGCGUUGAUAUCAUGUUGGAUCUUGAGCUGCGAGUCUGGUACAAUAGCUUAAAGGCAUGGCCAAAUAAAAAUGAAUGGUGACCUAAUGAGCCUUGGAUGAAGGUCUUAAAAUGGCGGUGUGCUGUGGAUUUAUUUAAGCAAAAGUUUCUUCACUGUUUGGACUUCAACCCAUGGAUUUUAGGGAUGGUAUGAAGUAUGACAACAUGUUGAAAUUGAAGAUGGACACAGUAGGUUUCAUGAUAGUUUUGUUUGGUUUAUAAAUUUUUGUAGUGUCUUUGGAAUGUAAUGUGGAUUUGAUGGUGGCAAUAAACCAUGUAGUGAUGACCAACUCUAAAAAAAUUGUACGGUCGGUGGCAUGACCGGAUCGAAUGUCCCAGUUUUGUUUCGUUUGUUAUGUUAUUUUGUUGAGGCAUGAAUUAACAUCCAUCUGCUAAGCGAUAAAAUCGAAAAGAAGAUAAGUUAUCUUUUAGACAUGAAUUAAUUUAAAUUAGUUAUCUA